RNAcentral lists this long non-coding RNA (350 nucleotides) under Androctonus crassicauda. Lineage: Eukaryota; Metazoa; Arthropoda; Arachnida; Scorpiones; Buthidae. The record is from RNAcentral.
AAUUUAUGGAUUUUUCACUAAUGUUUACUAGGAUAGUAUAUAUUUUUUUAAUAAACAUAAAAAAUAAAAAAUUACAAGAACCAGAUAUAAAAAAGAACACUUUCCAUAUACAGGGAUACUUUAUUGUGGCAGUUACAUUACAGACCAUCAUUGUAGAGCAAAUCACAGCCUUUGCUAUUGUAUAUAAAAGGCUAAAAUACUUGGCCAGAUGGUUGAGUUUUAAAGCAUUCACAUAUCACCCUCUAGGACCAGGCUUGAUUCCUGGUAUUACACCUUUUAGUUUUUCAGGAUAGCUCUGAACUCACUAGUAUCUGUGUUACUUUGUUUUAUAUAUCUGUUCUAAGUAUUAU